This 856-nucleotide long non-coding RNA is filed under the name Marmota monax (woodchuck). The record is from RNAcentral. Lineage: Eukaryota; Metazoa; Chordata; Mammalia; Rodentia; Sciuridae.
CCAGGGCAUGCUGAUGUCCAGGAUGCCCCACAACCUGGAAGCAAGAGCCGGGAGGCUGCUGGCCCAACCACUGCUCAAGAGUCCCUGCUCAGUUCCAUUCAGAGAAAGACCACAGCUCUGAGGCGUCGGUGGCUUUCCCACCCUCCAGCCCUGCCUGUCGCCCCUCUUUCUGGAGCUCAGGACUCCACACCACCUCUCCUCAGCCGUGUGGCUCGGAGGAGGCUGGGAGCCCGUAGGACUUGACAGCACAAAGAUCAGGGACAACCGAGCUUUAGGCCAGAAGGGCCUGGAUAAGCCCUAAGAAGGCAGACCCCUUCCCACGCCUCUGAUGGCAUCUUAAAAAGUUCUACUGUGUGCUGACCUGAGGGCUGCAGGGGCUUGCUUCUUGCUGGACUGAGUUAGUGGGCUGGUGUGCGUGACAUAUUUCUCGAGAACCCUAAGUGCCACAGGAGGGGGUGUGGACAGAGGAAGGAGGACAGACCGACAGCUCCAGCCCUGGCUUGCGUCCGAGUCUGUGAGACCUGGAGGCUCUCAGCCUGGGUCUUUGGGCCUCAGUUUCCCUUCUGGGAGCAAGAGGGCUAGAACCCCCUAUCUUUCUGUCCCUCUGUUUCGUAGUCACAGAAGGAAACAUUCUGUCAUAGCCCCGUCAUCGUCUUAGGAAGGAGUGGCUCACUUCCAGGAAUGAUCCUGAGUGUAGAUGCAGCGGUUCUCGGGCCCAACCAUCUCUCGAGAAAUAAAUGCAUUGAUGAUUAUGUAAGAAGAAGGAUGCAGAAAGUCCCUACCGGUCAGGAUUUUGUUAGCUGUCAUUUACCUCCGGCUGCCAUUCACCAAGUGACUCCAAGCAGUGUGGCGUGGG